Molecule: long non-coding RNA, 485 nt
Filed under: Pan troglodytes (chimpanzee)
Lineage: Eukaryota; Metazoa; Chordata; Mammalia; Primates; Hominidae
Description: lincRNA
Source: RNAcentral
CAGAUUUUGGAGUACUGCAAAAUGACUUUCCAAAUUGAUGAACCAUGGACUCUAAGCUGGAUAGACAGAGAAAUGAAAAGAAGGGACUAAUAGGGAAUAAGACGUGUGAUCCAUGGCCCGAUGGCCCUGAUGGACGUGAAGAUCCACUGUUGUGGAAGGAGUGGAACACUAACACUGAAUGAUGGAGGCUGUGGUCAGAAACAGCUGAAUAUAACUGGCCAGUGCAGAAGAGCCUAUGAAGGUGGAAAAUGGAGGAAGGAGGACCCCAUGCUGGAGAAGUGAUGGAGAUUUGAAGUCUUGGAAGAUGGUGGCAAGGGAGAUGCCAGAGAUGAGACAAAACCUAAUACUCUGUUAAACAUCUGUAAUCUAACAAUCUUCUAUGGGAGUUUAUUAUAUUUCCAUAUCCCAUGUUCACUUCUAGUGAAAAAUAAAAAUAAAAUCUUAAGCCCCCCACAGCUGACUAAAUGGAUCCCAUUGUGAAAGGA